CUACUUGGCCAUGCUGGACUGAAGGGACCUCAUUUUAUCUGAUCUUAGAAGCUAUGCAAGCCUAGGUCUAGCUAGUAGUUGAAUGGGAGGCCAUCUUGGAUAGCUAUAGGUACAAACUAAG
RNAcentral lists this ribosomal RNA (121 nucleotides) under Crocodylus porosus (Australian saltwater crocodile). The record is from RNAcentral. Lineage: Eukaryota; Metazoa; Chordata; Crocodylia; Crocodylidae.